UUUUAUAGAAAAUAGGUUUAUUAUCGUCGUCCUCUUAUUAGCCGCAAAGAGUGUACUCUUUAGUGCUUUAUUCCUAUAGAUAUAGUCCUCUCAUUUAUUAAGGUAUGGUCUAAAAAGAUAAAGAUAAGGAAUUAAUUAUGACGAAACUUUUUCGUCCGUAAUUAUAUUGAAAUCCGUCCAAAUUCUAUUGACUAUUACAGUACAUAAUGAUUAUGAGAUAGGACAAAUGAACGUGAAAACUACAUUCCUUAAUGGUAACCUCGAAGAGAAUGUGCAUAUGAUAUAAAUAAAUAUUUAUUUUUAAUUAUUUUUAUUUUUUUAAUUAUUAUAUUUUUUAUUUUUUUAUUUUUAAUGUGCUGACCUCCGGAGCAUAGGCAAUGGCUUUUUGAGUUAAAUACAUUUUUAUUUUUGGUAAAAAAAAUUAUAUAGCUUGGACAACAAAAUUGGCCCAUUCCAGCUAGCCCGGACCGGUCCACCUCUGAUUUGUGUCCGGUUGACCGAUACGAAGCCGAAACAAACCCACCACUUGAGGACUAUUUGAUGCACGCAUUGGCGAUGUGGCCGGAAUUCCCAACUCGCAAGUCAGGUUGGACGGGGAAAGGGUUUGGUGUAAGAAAAGAUGAAGCAGCCGCCGGCGUCGUAUCUGUACCACCAGCAGCAGCAGCAGGAGGAGAUGGAGGAGGCGGUGGCGGUGACCGUGGGGAUGGAGGUGGACGACGCCGAUCCCAUCGAGAUCCUCUCCGACUUCGACCGCCAGCAGCCCCCUGUCGACGCCGACUUCUUCAACUCCUUCGACGAUGACUUCGACGACCAAGACCUUGCUUGAAGGCACCUGCUCUUCCUCCUCGUUCUCUUCUGGUUGAUGUGUUAUCGUUCUGUGAUACCUCAGCUGAGUUGGUGCGAGGUGGAAAUAAGGUGACAUGGAAUUCUGUCAGAUUAGUUGGUGUGGAAUGUCUCUUACGGAGUCUUUCAUGGUAUCAUGCUGCCAUGUGUACGUAUGUGUAUCGAUUGUCAUGCUAUAAAACAAUUUCAGAACUGAUUAUGUUUUGAACAGCGGAGUUGCAUAGCUUCUAUAAUGAAUCGGCAGCAUGUUGGACUGAGCCAA
Long non-coding RNA from Musa acuminata AAA Group (dessert banana), 1105 nucleotides. RefSeq lists it as uncharacterized. NCBI's taxonomy places the organism in Eukaryota, Viridiplantae, Streptophyta, Magnoliopsida, Zingiberales, Musaceae. The transcript has 2 exons. The record is from RefSeq and is a predicted model, not a curated record.